GACGAACGCUGGCGGCGCGCUUAACACAUGCAAGUCGAGCGAGAACCGGGACUUCGGUCCCGGGGACAGCGGCGAACGGGUGAGUAACACGUGGGUAAUCUGCCCUCGAUUCUGGGAUAGCCCGGGGAAACCCGGAUUAAUACCCGGAUAGCCUUUCGAGUUUUCGGGCUUGAAAGAAAAGGUAGCUUCGGCCUCCGAUCGAGGAUGAGCCCGCGGUGGAUUAGCUUGUUGGCGGGGUAAUGGCCCACCAAGGCGACGAUCCAUAGCUGGUCUGAGAGGACGAUCAGCCACACUGGGACUGAGACACGGCCCAGACUCCUACGGGUGGCUG
Molecule: ribosomal RNA, 331 nt
Filed under: uncultured bacterium
Lineage: Bacteria
Description: bacterial SSU rRNA
Rfam family: Bacterial small subunit ribosomal RNA
Source: RNAcentral